Long non-coding RNA from Cyprinus carpio (common carp), 2090 nucleotides. The record is from Ensembl. NCBI's taxonomy places the organism in Eukaryota, Metazoa, Chordata, Actinopteri, Cypriniformes, Cyprinidae.
GCUGGAAUUCCUCCAGGAAGGCCGAAAGAAGCCUGGCACUUGCUUGCAGCUUGCAGCCAGGCUUGGGCAGCUGGGAUCUGGAAGGAGUUCCCUGCAGUUCUGGAGCACUCUGGCACCGCUCACACCCCCUACAUCAAACCCGUACCACACACCCCGCCUGCUCCCGCUCCACCUUCUUCUGCACAACACAAUACAGAGGAGCUCUGUGCUUCUGUACACCCACACACACACACACACAGAGAGAGACAGCGAGCUGUAAAUGCGAUUCAAGGAUUCAAGCAGGCGCCCCUCAGUUGCCGACUCUGCUCUGUGUGGCACUUGACACAGGCGCUCUCGCAUAAUCUGCCUAUUAUUCAUUGUUAGUGGCGAGACUCUUCAACACACUUCAAGGUCUAUUCAUCUGCAGAAACAAGUACUGAACUGGGUAUCAGCACUGUGGAAACGGUCCCCCAUUUGCCCUUUCAAAUUCGCCUACCAUGCAAGAUACGGCGUUGAACAGGAGCUGUUUCUUCAGCUGGAAUCUAUAGUGGUUUCUUUCCCCCAAGAGCGUCACGGCACCUGCAAGGAGCCGCGAGAGUUUUGGCUACACCAGUAAGGCACCGCAAGCCCCGCCUACCUGCUGAAAGGCAGCCUGCUGACACCCUCCUGAUCGGUUGUCUGGGAUUCUCAGCAGCCAAAAAAGCAGUAAAAAAGGAAUUCCUUCCUAAUGGUCCAUGAAAGCUGUGAUUCACCACUUAUUAUUGUUCGAGCCCUGGCGAAUCUUUCCAUAUUACCUCAGCAUUGUAACCUUCAGAAAACCUGUCCGUCACACUCUAGGGUUUAUUUUCACAUCGUGCCACCUCGUCUCUCUGUUCUGACUUGCUUGAGCAGAUCUAUGGAAUACAGUCGAGUAAUCAAUGGCCCAGAAAGCUCUUCCAGCUGGACACUUGUCAUUGGUGAUGGAGGAAAACCAUGGCAACCGGCCGCUUCUAAAGGACCGCUGGCGUUAGGGAGAAGCAUCUUCACAUUAUGGCUGCAGGAUCUGAUGUCUGCCAAACAAGCGUGGGAACUGACCUGGCCCAUCCACAGCAGCCUCAUCUGCAGCCUGUAAUGAUGGAACCUCAAUGACAUCAUACACGUUUUGGAGCAGGGCUCUGGUAGCUGCGCCGUACGCCUCAUCCAAAUACCAGUGGCUAAACGGAACACACACGCCGAGCUGAGCAAUGGAAGUCAGAUGGUCUGCGUUUUCUUUCUUCCUUUCCCCCCCUUCAGACUCAAGUGUAAGCGGCUGUCGGGAUUUAGAGAGAAAGAGACCGAGGGGCCUCCGCGAGGGUCGGCCUCGACUGUAAAUGUCGGAAAGCAAACACAGGCCUUCGUAACAAAGUGGAAUCUGAUAUAAUUUACCCCAGGCUGCACUGUUUGAUCUUCACCUACUUCAGGGUGCUUGUCAGAGCCGUGGAGGGGGGACUGAUGCAGCUUAUGGGCCGAAAAGUCGGCGUUUAUAAUCUGACGUCAUGUGCGUUGAAAAGUAUUUUCAUGUGUGGGUUGACAUUUUGAAAGUUGCGGAUUGUAUGCAAGCAUUGCUGCUGUUUUCUUUUCAUGCUUCCUGCAUAAAUGUAGUCAUAUUUAGUUACCUCCAAGGACUCUUGUAAUGUAAAACACUGCCUUCACUUCAUUCCUCAUUGGCCAAUCUAGGCAUCUUGAAUGUUUGCAUUGCUAUGUAACGUAGCCUUUGCUAUGUAACGAAAACUAGAUGUUCAAUAGGGCAAUAUAGAGCCAUUUUAUUUUAUAUACACGAAGAAACUGACCCUACACAAGAUUUUUUCACAAUUUUUUUUUUUUUAGCAUUUAGCUUUGGUUGGAGUAGCUUAGCGGUUAGCGCUCAUGCACUGACACAUGGCGCUCAUGUUGAGUUUUUUGAUCCCAGUCCUCUGUGUUCAUCAUUUUCUGGCCUGUUAUUUAUUUAUUUAUUUAUUUACUUUUGUUGUAUUUAAACAUUAAACAUCAAAUCAAAUUACAUAAUCAUCUCAGAUCUGUUUUUUUUUUUUGCAUUUUUUUAUUUUUGCAUUUUUAAGAAUAAUAUAAUUAUAAUAUUAUUAUAUACUUAUAAU